UAGAACAGAAUAUGAUAGAAAAAUAAAAUGUAUUUAAAUAUGAAACUACAACCUCGAUUAGGAUGUGGCAAAGUCACUGAAUCUUUUAUAAUUAUAUACUUUAUCAUUAUUAAUUAUAUAUCUUUUAUAACUUUUUGAAGUCAUAGGCCUAUAGUGAAAUGUCAUACACUGUAAAUCAGUGGCAUUUGCUAAAUUAAAUUAGUUAAUUUAACAAAAAAAGUUAUUUCAACUCAAUAUAUAUGUGAUGUGAACUCAAAAUCUAAUUAGGUUAAGGGGAACUCAAUCUAAAUAAGUAUAAAUUAAUUUAAUCUACCAUAUGGUUAUUAUGUCUAAAUGGCUGACCACAAAAUAUUUUAAAGAAAAAUUUGCUUAAUUCAUGAUUUCUAACAUUGUUUUUCUAGAAAUCACGUUUGCUUUAUCUCUUUCAAUAUUAAUUAAAUAGCCUUCAUAACUAAAGAUAAUACAAUAAAUACAUAAAUCUGUUUCAUAUUAAGCAUAGAUCAAUCCUUUUAAAGAAAUUAAUUUUACUCGAGACAAAAUAUUAUCCGGGUGUUUUUCAAAAACCGCGCGCAUUUUUCAGUCAGUCACAUCCGCCCCUCCCCCACAGCUCACAGUCACUGGAUCACAGCCGGACGGCUCGCGACGCCGUCACGGAAAAUAACAGCUGGACACAGACAAACGAGUCCCGCGAAUUGUAUUUUUAAACUGGAGAGACAGCUGACAGGAUGUCGUCAUCUGUAACCGUCACUCGCCACAGUUCUCAAGAGAGGGACAAUAAUGGCAUCAGCCAUUCAAGUUAUGAUCCUGGCAGAUCUACUACUAUCUGAAAAGUAGUCUCUGCAGAUUGUUUCAAGAUACACAAGAUGGAGCGUGGAGAGACGGGACAUGGACCACAGUUUUUCAGCACCCACACCCCACACUCAAAUUCAUAUAGAAGUUCUCAAUUAUUAAAUGUUAAUUUCAUAGUUUAUAUUUAGCUGUGAAGUUAUAGUUCAUUGUCAUAAAUAUUAAACUACAUAUUAUUAUUAUUAUUAUUUUACAUGAUAUGCAAAUUUCACCAAUUUGUUUAAUGUGUUAAUUAACUUUUUGAAAUUGAUUAUCUUUAAUAAUUCAGAUACCUGUUGAAAUGCACAUGUAAUUAUAUACUUGCUCGUAUCUGGAAGGUUGUGUUAAUAAAAAUGAUGUUGAAAGCGAA
This is a long non-coding RNA of Onychostoma macrolepis, 1195 nucleotides long. RefSeq lists it as uncharacterized. The record is from RefSeq and is a predicted model, not a curated record. NCBI's taxonomy places the organism in Eukaryota, Metazoa, Chordata, Actinopteri, Cypriniformes, Cyprinidae. The transcript has 4 exons.